Molecule: ribosomal RNA, 346 nt
Filed under: uncultured bacterium
Lineage: Bacteria
Description: bacterial SSU rRNA
Rfam family: Bacterial small subunit ribosomal RNA
Source: RNAcentral
AGAGUUUGAUUCUGGCUCAGGAUGAACGCUGGCGGCGUGCUUAACACAUGCAAGUCGAACGAAGCACUUUUGCCGAUUUUCUUCGGAACUGAAGUAAUAGUGACUGAGUGGCGGACGGGUGAGUAACGCGUGGAUAACCUGCCUCACACAGGGGGAUAACAGUUAGAAAUGACUGCUAAUACCGCAUAAGCGCACAGUACCGCAUGGUACAGUGUGAAAAACUCCGGUGGUGUGAGAUGGAUCCGCGUCUGAUUAGCCAGUUGGCGGGGUAACGGCCCACCAAAGCGACGAUCAGUAGCCGGCCUGAGAGGGCGACCGGCCACAUUGGGACUGAGACACGGCCCAG